AUGGUAUACUUGAAAAUCCAACCUUACAAGAUGAAAAGAUUGAAGCUAUACAAGCUCAAGUUGCCUGAAGACACAAGAGUACAUCAUGUGUUCCAUGCUUCCUUAUCAAAAAAAGUUGUGGUACCUACUGCUACACCACAACCAUUUCCAGUUAGCAUCAACAAAGAGUGGCAUUUAAAACCUACACUUGAGAGGGGGAUGGAUUAUAAGAGGAAUGAACAGGGAGAAUGGGAAGUUUUGGUGAAAUGGAAGGAUCUGUCAUAA
Molecule: non-coding RNA, 264 nt
Organism: Vicia faba (fava bean)
Lineage: Eukaryota; Viridiplantae; Streptophyta; Magnoliopsida; Fabales; Fabaceae
Source: the annotation of a GenBank genome assembly